RNAcentral lists this small nuclear RNA (103 nucleotides) under Mus spicilegus (steppe mouse). The record is from RNAcentral. Lineage: Eukaryota; Metazoa; Chordata; Mammalia; Rodentia; Muridae.
GGCUCGCUUCGGCAGCCAUAUAUUAAAAUUGGAACGAUAGAGAGAAGAUUAGCAUGGCCCCUGCGCAGAUGUGUUUUCAAAGUGUGAUUCUUUAAAGGGUUCA